UGUAGCAUUGGCUAGGUGUGCUGGUACAAAAAGGGAAGGGUCAGCUGCUGUAAGUGCCCUGGCAAGGUGGGACAGGGGGAGCAAGAGGGGCGAACUGUGUUCUGGCAGGACACAGAGGCUCCGAGGGAGAAUGUUCCAUUGAAGUCAUUCUCCUUAAAUGAGUGUAGUACUUCUCAGUCAUUGAAAAAAAAGGCUAUUGGAGUUGUGUCGAUGUGGAGUGCUGGUGUGGAUGGUGAUUCAGGGUGCGAGGUUCUGGAAGUGCUUUGAAGAAUCCUCUGGAUGAGCCAGUACCUGCAGUGACUGCAAAGAAGGUCUCGGGAUUUUGUGUCCCUCCACUUAGGUGGUGUGAGCGGUGAGCCACAAAGUUGCUGAUGCUUCAUGUACCCAAGGAGCAACCAAGAUCCAGGAUCACGGUGUCCGGCUGUCAGCAGAGAGCGGGGAGCAUUCACACAUGAACAAGUCUUCCUCUGAGAACUGGAAGCUGAAGCCUUCAUCAGAUAAAUGGCGUGCAUACAGGAGUAAGGAGCUGCCUGGAUCCAGAGGGCUGUGAGGACUGCAGCACAGAGCUGCCUGUGGAUACGUUUGCUGAGCCAUUUCAGGGGCAGGGAGGAGAGCUGAACUGAAUAAAAGCAGUCCCAUCUCUCAGAAGAACAUCUGGGUUUGAACAGUUUGGAACAGCCAGAGGUACCAGUAAAGGAGGCAGCGGCUGGCAGUGCCUCAUGGUUUCCUAACACCACUUCUCUGGGAUACAGGGACAAAUCUUGACAUUGUUCACCUUAAAACUCCACUGGUGCACAUGAAGAGUUUGAAAUCCAGAAGGAUCUAGACAUGGAGCUGCACGCUUGGUUCGUACAGGUCCCGCAGCGCUCGUUGCAGCACCCACUGGUGUUGGAGGUGCCCCAUGCAGCGGUAGUGGGGCAUUCCCACAGCCUGGAAACAAGCUGCAGCUCUCAUCACCACCAGCAUCUCAGCCACAUGAGAAACAGGCCCAAGACAUCAUGCAAACCUCUGCUCCGUCUGAUCCCGAUCCCGUCUCCUCUGUAACCCACGACGCGCUGCCGUGGGUGCAGCAUUACGGCCGCUCAUCGACCCUCUGCACGCCGGGCGCCUUCUUCCCUCUCCCCCG
RNAcentral lists this long non-coding RNA (1126 nucleotides) under Gallus gallus (chicken). RNAcentral's name for it is "long non-coding RNA NONGGAT008029". The record is from RNAcentral. Lineage: Eukaryota; Metazoa; Chordata; Aves; Galliformes; Phasianidae.